Molecule: long non-coding RNA, 10412 nt
Organism: Alligator mississippiensis (American alligator)
Lineage: Eukaryota; Metazoa; Chordata; Crocodylia; Alligatoridae
Exons: 7
Source: RefSeq, a predicted model, not a curated record
UUCCCUUAUGCUGGCUGGAAAGAAAAUCUUAUCUUGGAUUUGAAUAAAUACAGUAAUUUUUAAAGGCUCACGUCUGCUACUUUUAUUCCAGUGUAAUACCUCAGUCAGCAAGUAAUCUCAUUGCAAGCAACAGGGACCAUUCACUGAGCACCAGAACUGUUUCUGAUUCCACUCACUGUUCUGGUAUCUCCUUGUGUUUCCUCCUCUCAAUGCUUUAUCUUCAGGUUGUUUCUCUGUUUAUCUUAGAGUGUGAGCUCUUCAGUGCAUUGAACCAUCUUUCAGCAUCUUUUACAGUGCUAAUUGGAAUGGGACCCUAAUAUCUAUGUACUAAAUAUAGGUAGGGGUAGGUAUUUGGGAUUCUCAGCCAUUUGUACUUGUCUCUAUUUUGGAUUUGUGUCACAGACUGAAAACUUUUAAAAUAUGGGUAAAAUUUAACCCCAAUUCUGCAAUGAAUUGCAUGCAUUUGCAAAGCAGCAAAGAUAUGGGGAUAUAAGAAACUCCCCAGGAAGUUCACUUUCUUAAUUCCUUCUUUGUUUGGAGGCCACAGUGCUUCUUGUGCCAAAAGUCUAGCAGUUUUGUGAUAUUUCACAUCACUCAUGAGAACCUGAGCUGUUUACAGUCUCCCAAAUAAAUUAAUUCUUCGUCCCUGAGAUCAAAGCUAAUAUCUCAUUGUGACCGAAGGAAAGAGCACAGCCAUUGACCCAGCCAGUGUAUUCCUUGUUUUCCUGCAUUAACCAUUUUAUCCAAGUCUCAGGGAAGGAUUAUGCAACAGGUGGUAGCCAUACGAUACUUCCCUUGAGUAUGAUAGGCUUGAAGCCUUUUUUUUUUUUUUUUCCGAUUCACACUUUCCUUGUAAUUUUUAUAUUACCCAAAACGUUCUUUUCAAUUGACCAGAGAGAUGUUUUUCUAUUUGUUUUCAUGCUGAAAAGAAAAAGUUUAGUUGAAUGAAAAGUGCUUAGUUUUCAAGAUUCUUUUACCAUUGUUUUAUAUCAUUGUUAAAUGUAGGUAAUUGUAUCUCUGGCCCCGUUUUACAACAGGGUCAAAUUAUGCCCCUUUGUUUCACAUGCAGAGUAGUCCUCUUUGUGCCAGUCUCUCCUUUGUACCUCUCCUCUGUGGCAUCAUGCUCUCUGUGAGGUCUGAGACCCAUGUUGAGUGAGGGAAUUGAAUAUGUGAGGACCAGGGAAGGCAUGAGUAGCCUGUAGUGUGACUCUGGGGACACAUAGAGACCCAUGAGCUUUAAUUAUAAAAGGUAAUACAUAUUCAGGCUGUAUCACAUUGUUCUCUUUACCAUGUCUACUUCCUCCACAGCAACCAUACUGCUCGGGGGGGAGACCCUGCCAGUCUCUCCCUUCAUUGGAGCAAUCCUUCCAGGUAAGCCAGGAGGAAGCUGGACUGUGUGUGACCGUGCAGGUGAUCCCAGACUCUUGUGUGCCCUGGCAUCUGCCAAAUUUAGAUUUAUUUUUUUACAAAUAUCCUCUCUCCAGCCUUACUCCCCAAAUCAUUACUAGUUAUUGUGAGGGGAUCUCAGAAAAUAGACUCCCCCCCAGUCCAUUUUUCAUCCCUGAGCUCCCUCAUUGUGCCUUCACAGGCUUUUUCCCCCUUUAAUCGAUGACUUUCUCAAAAAGGUUGCUUGUUGCCAAAGCUUCAGGGUUUCUGGGCCCUGCUAGCUAGUAGGGAGUUAAUUCUCUAGCUGCUCCUCAGACAGGUGCACAGGACAACUAAUUGGGCCUGGAGCCCUGGGCUGGGCCUGGUCAGACGCUCAGGUGCGAUGCGCAGGAAAUUACCCAGACAGCCAAGCUAGGGCUGAGGGAGGCAGGGAAGCUGGCAGCACUUCUGUGGGCUGCCUCUGUUCGGCUUUCUCUUAUAGGUACUGCACUCUGCAAACCUUUUGCUGAACCCUGAGGAGAUCCCCACCCCCUUCCGACAGAUUUCCUUCAGUCUCCUCACCCCCCACCAGCUUCUGGGCCUCUCUGAAAGAGCCAUUGCCGAACAUGUAGACUUCUGGGCAUAGAUGUUGAGUUGUACAGCUGAAAACUCCCAUUUUCCGUUGGAAUCGGAUUCUGCAGAAGUUGCAUAAGAAAGAACCACUUUAAUUCUGGUCACCUGGAAUUGGUCUUGGUCCCAUCAAGAAGGGAAGCCAAGGAGUGGUAGAACAUACAGCCUAGAGAGACUACAGUGACUGUCAAGCUCUUUAUAAAAUGUAACCUUAUAAAAUGUAAGGCAUUCAGGCCUGACUUCCUGAGGUGCUGAACAUUGACUUCAGCCUGGAUGAAUGUUCCCUACUUCUGGUGAAACUAUAAGGCCUUAUUAUGCCCUUCUGAAGUGCCUUUGCAACCGGCAUCUCCUGAUCACUGGGGAGCGCAGGGAUGCAGCCCACGUUGGGGACUGCAUCACAAGCAGCAGCCCAUGGUGGUACAAGGUUACAUGGAAUAUAAGAACAGUAAGAAGUGAACGGGGAUGGACUGUUCACCUGCUAUGUGCAAUCUUCACUCAUCAGACCAUGGUGUUCAGCUGCAACAGAGAACAGAUGUAAGAACUUAAAUCAUGUGAAGAAAACACAUUUUCUUUUGCGAGAGUUUGCCAAGAAAGAUGUUACCAGAACACUGCAGUGCAGAUGGUGCAUUAUCAGUUAAUGGGACAAGGAAGAGACAAUAACAAUGGCUCCUAUGGCAGCACUGGGCAUGCCCUAAAGAGAAGGAAGGAAGAGGAUGACCAGAUACAGAAGCUGUGGAAUGAUAGGUAAUCAGAUUCUUCACUAAUGCUUUCUGAGCAGCCACUAAGUGGGACAUAUACUCCAUCACAGAGAAAGAUGCAGAGGAGUAAGAGAAAGCAGGAAGAUGGGUGUGUGAAAAAAGAAAAAGGUAGUCAAGUCCCACAAGAAAAAGAGGAAUGAAGAUAUACUGAAGUUUGUAAAGGAACUAACACAGUGGUCUGCAAAUGGAAGAAAGAAUGGGAGAGAGGAACAGUUAUUUACAACAGCAUCAGGACAAGACCAAUGUAUGAGUAGAGAGUCCUUGUGGAGAAGAACUGAUAGACUUAGUACCAAAAAUAAUUAGAAAACAAAAGGGUGGAUGGCUGGCCAAGAGCAAAGAUGUAACAUGUGAACAUGAAGCUGAACAGAACAGAUUGUCAAGAAAGCUAAAGACACUUCUGAUGCUACUCUGGGAGGCUAUAAAAUACAAGUGUUUCAAGCAUUGUCACAGGCUACAUUAAAGAAAAGGAAGGAACUGAGUGAAAGUAUAGCAUCUCCCCGAGAAGCAAAUAAACAGAUAAGGUUUUCCUUUUAAAUGUCUCUUCACACAUCAAGAACAGCAGUACAUUAUAAAGGAGAAAAAAGAAAGCCUUAAAUUUCUUGAGAAGCUAAAGUUAAUGGAAAGCACCCUGGAACCUCAGCCUGCGACGGAUGUAAACAGCAAGAAGCAACACCAAAAUAGUGACUGCAAAUUGUUAAACCCAGGAGAAACAAGAUACCAAAGGAUAAGGACAAGGAGACUAGGGGAAGUCAUAGAAUUAGGUGUAUUCAAGAGGAUUUGAGUGGUACUGAAUAACAGUAUGAAGCAAAUAAAAAUUAAAAAUGGAAGGGAAAAUAUUACAAGGGGAAAAGUUAAAAUGGUAAAGUUGGGAACUGAAAUAAUUAUGAAAAUCAGGAAGUAAAAACAUAUUCCAAGACUAAAACCAAAUAGCAAGGGGAUGGGAAAGAGACUUGCGGGGAGGCCUGAAAUAUGGCUCUGUACAAGUCCCUCCAGGAAACAACACAUGACAUAUUACAAUUUAGUGCCAUGACUGUCCCUAUGAAGUUCACUUCUCAGGUAUGGAAGUGUUAAACAUUCCUUUACAUCUGAGUGUUAGGAUGACUGUCUACAUUUUAGGAAAGUGGUAAAAAUAUAAAAGCCUUAAGUCAUUUGGGGAUUUUAAGAGAAGAGAAACUGGACUGGCUAAAUAAGGGGGGACUUUAGGAAAUAAAGUUAAUUUUAGGGUGAGAAUAUAAAAAAGGAUACACAGGAACCAAAACAGUCCUUCAGGUAUAUUAAGUAUACUAUUAUCUCCUUUGUAAAUACGUAAUAACUUCAAACUCAUGCAAUUCCUGUGUACUACUCCAAUGCUGGAGUUUUAUUUCUAUAUUUUUCUGAGAAAAAAAAUGUCAAAAGAGGCUUAAAAAAUUCCUAACUGGAAUUGGAAAGAAGCCUCUGAUCAGUCCUUGCAUCACAACAAAUGAAGCUUCAAGAUUCCCUUUGAAAUAUUUCAUGGAAGAUUACACCAAACUAGGAAAGGUAUUAAAAAAAGUGAAGGCUCAGGUGACCUUCAGUGGAAUUCUUCGGGAUGGCAAACACAUGACAAGAUCAUGAAGAUCAACAGGUAGCUGAAGAAUUGUAAUACAAAGAAAGUUUGGGAAUGUUUGAAGAAUGAGCAGUAGUCACAGAAAAAAAGACUCACCUUAACAGCACUGGCCUUCUGGGACUGGGGCAGCAUAAGAGUUUGAACUAAAGAAAUAAGGGGAAGUCAGUUGAGAGAGACACAAUCUCCAUGCCUGAUUUUAGGACAUGGGAAAAGAAAAACUGGGUAAAUCAGGAUACAAUAAUGGAUACAAAAGAAUCAGAGGGUAAAAGGACAUUGUGAGGAAAAUACUAAUAUUGAUUAAAAGAGUAGUUAGUGGGCGAUACAACUAGGCUAAGAGGUAUGAUCAGUAAUAAAUUAACUGAAAUGUUUGCCUGAGUGCCUGGUACAACAAAACAAAGGAACUAGAGCUACCAGUACAGGAUAUGAAACAGGAUAUUACAGUAAUAAGAGGGUAGAGUAGAAAUCAGGACUGAAAAACUGAAAUGGGUUUUAAAGGUAUGUGCUGUUUAGGAAAGAGCGAAAUAAAGGUAACUGUGGUAGGAUACCAUGGAUAAAAUAAACAGGUUCAAAAUUUGUUUGGGGGAAGGAUGGUAACAAAGGUUCAGUUCAGACCAUACUGGGAAUCUAUUAUACACUUCCGGCAUUUGAUUCAGGAAGAGCUAUCUAAAGUUGCUAUACUACUUGUAAUUUUCUAGUACUGAAGACAUUAUAAAAGAGCAGGAUGCUGACAAUAACCAAAAAGUCUACAAGGAAAAAAGACUGAUCAGCAAAGAAAGCUGAUCUGAGGUCGGGAAAUUAGGGUAAAGUGAGACUUGUGAAAAGUUAAAUUGAGUUUAAAAUAAACAGCAGAAGUUCUUCAGCAAUACCAAUAAAAAGAAGAAAGGAAGAUGUGAGGUUGCAGUAUAUCAAGGCUGAAAUAAAAACUAAAGGUAAUCUAGGCAUGUCACCAAAACUAAAUUAAUUCUUAGCCACCAAUUCCAAUGAGGGUAAUGUUGACCACUGGGACAAAGGUGGGAUAGGCAAUGUAAAUUACCACAACUGAUGGAAAAGUAGAUCUCAAAAAUUCACUGUGUUCACAGGGGUCAGGAGUGGGGGGCAGGGGGCAUCAUCCCCAUCCCAGAAUUCUGAAAUUCCCAAAAGAUGAUAUUGCAAGUCCCGCAACAAGAAUUUUAAUAAAACACUCAAGUCAGGGGGUUGCAUUGUAUGACUGCAGAAUACCAAAUAUAGUGCAUAUUUUUUUUUAAGACAGGAGAAUUUACAGUCAUUUACAGGCAUGUUAGGAUGACUUUAAGAGCAUGCACAGUUUUAGAAUAAAUCUUGAAGGAAAGAAUAAUUAAGAAUACAUUAAAAGAAAUGGAAAAUGGGAUAAAAUACUGUAUGUAUUUACCAACUUUAAAUUAUGCUAUCAUUUUUCCAAGGAUGACUUCUUUCUAGAGAAUGAAAAUGGAGUAAUUUAAUCUAUUUCAACUUCAGGAAAGCAUCUGUUCCAGCACCACAAGGGAAAUUUAGUUAAAUUGGAGGUUUAGAUUAUAAAAGAAUUACAAAGUGGGAAAGAAACUGGAUAAAGAAAAGAUUAUAGUAUUUUAUGUUGAAUGUGAUGGAGGAAAGUCCAGUGGCUUUCUCUGUGCAUCUGUCCUAGGACAUAAACUGUUUAAUAAUUUUAUUAAUGACCGACCUCAGCACAAAAAAGCAGGGUAAAGCUAAAGAAAUUUCACUAAUGAUGCAAAGCUGGAAGACUUCAUAAAUGCAAAAGGGGAUUGAAACCUCUUACAGUAAGAACAGAAUGACAUGGAGGAUUAAAAUAAUAGAAAUGGGAUAAAAUGUAAUAGUAAAAAUGAGAAGUUAUGCACUUGUAUAAUCAAUACUAUUGUAUAAGCAUCUUGUUAAGACCUCAUCUGAUAUACAGCAUACAGUUCUAGUCACCCACAUUCAAUAUGUAAGAUUCAGAUUGGAACAGGCACAGAGAGCAGUGACCAGGAUGAUCAGGAGGACAGAAUCUGUUUCACAGCAGAAAACUAGAAGAACAGGCCUAAUUAAUCUUAGGAAAAUGAAAACUGAGGGGGAUUAUGAUUGCUUUGCAUAAAUAUAUUGGGAGGGCGAUAAACAUCAGAGAGGGAACAGACCUACUAAAGCUAAAAAAUAAUGCUGAUGGAAGUGGAUGAUCAAAAUAAAUGGAUAUUAAAUUGGCUAUAAACAAAUGUAAGCUGGAAUUUAGGGUUCUUACUAGCAAAGCACUUCCAUUUGGAGUCAGGGAGUGAGUAUCCCUACAACAAAAUUUCAUAAAUCUGAUGAAAGGGAUUGAAACAUGGUUUCCUGCAAGAUGAAAGCGACUGAAACAUGGUUUCCUGCUCCCAGACCCAGGGUCUCCCUUCCACCUGUACUUUCCUAGAAAUGCCCAACACAAAAAGUUGAAACUUGGGGAUUCUGGUGUGCUCAUCUGUUGCCAUGAAAGUUUUACAUUUCUUCUAUGUUUUUUAAGUAUAUUAGGAAGGUUUCUUUUUUAUAAAGCUUUUGGACCAUCUAAUAAUAUCUGAAAGCUAAUACUGGUAGAUAAUAGAAAUGGGAUGAAAUUUAAUAUGAUUUUAAAAUCAUUAUGGACUGUGCAUGGCAUCCACCUCUAUUCCCCAGCAAUGAAUCUUAAGUUUACAGAAAGUGUUAGUCAAGUAAUAUAAUAAUACAGGUUUUUCCCUUCAAAAUACCAACAGCAUAGUGCUAUGCUUUUUUUUUUUGUUUAACGUUCAGCAUUCACAAUAUUUUUCUAUCAGCACAAUUAUUUUCCCUAUAGUUAAGAGAUUCUUCUUUUUGAAUCCAUGAAUUAGGAGUUAGGAUGCCUCAUUUUUAUUUAUUUAUUUAUUUUACAUAUUACUGUUAACAAUUUUGGUCUUGUGGUACCAAGGUAAGGAAUUCUCAGAACGGUAAAUAAUAUAAACCACAUAAUACACAGGGUACCUCUUGGACAACCUGCACUCCUGUUCAGUUUUACAGACUAAUACUCUGUAGCAAAUAUAACAAUUACACAGAGUAGUGUGAAAAGAGCUACUUUCAGUGCAGCUAAGAAGCAAAAAUCUUCUGCUCUGGUGGUAUAUAAGGACAAAGUCCAAAAUUAAUCCUAGUAUGUUUUGUUAAGCAAAGCAUAAUAUCAGGGAAAAGGAAUCUGUUUGAAGGUUAACAAAGUCCUACUUGUGCAUAAUGCCAAGGUGCUGACAAGAUACGUGCAAAGCAGAUUUUCUUUUAAAUAAAGACUGUAGUAUAGUCUUCAGACAAAUGCCAGUAUUGUUUCCUCAGCUAUUUUUGUUUGAAAUAGGAACUAUUUUCAUAUGCCUCAGCAAGAAACCUGACUGAACUCUAGGAUUUUGCACUACCUGAUCAAGGAGGGGCUGUGGUUUCAUUUCAUUUCCCCUAUUUCAUAUGCUCAAAUUUAGCAAGUAAUUCGCCAUACUUUCCAACAAGAUGCUUCUUCAAAGGGUCAUCUUGGAUGGAGCCUCUUACUUCCCAAACUUAUUUAUCCUCUUCCCUAGAUUUCCAACAAUUUGGUCUGAACCAAAAUGUAGUUCAUACAUAAGUACAUGCAAAGUGAUGCUUUUGUAAAGCAUCCAGCUGCAUUGUGACCUGGAGUCAAUCCAGAAGCCCACACUGUUACUGGUAGCAGUACUAUCUUCAAAGGAUGUAGGGUCAAUGUGGGACAGUGACUACAUUUCCCUCCUAUCUUAACCUACAGAGGUGGCUAUGGUUCAGAAGAAAAGAUACACUGCAGCUGUCUCAAGGCUUUGGCAGCUGUUACUGCAGCAAAAACUCAUUAAGAACUUCAGGAAAAUUCUUAUUAUAACCAUGUGAAACUCUCCCUGUCCUUCAGCUGUCAAGGCAUUUCCCGCCCAAUGAUGAACGAAUGCAGGGCCUUGCCUCAAAGGCACAAGUAUUGCCUAGUUUCCCAUUUCUUUUUGUGUUUUGCCCCUCCCCACCAAAACACUGCUCAUGUAAAUGAUUAUGCAAAUAAUCAUUCACCUUGUCCAUCCAUAAACAAUGUGUUUGUUUUUCCUCCUUUUAAGUACCUGGUAUUGACUUUAGGAAAAAAUCCUUUUCAAUUUUAUUUUCUCUGUUUUGAUUCUCUCUGUUUAUUUUGUUUCAGCAGUGAAAGUUCAGUCCAGCAGUUCCUCAUAUCUAUAUUUCUCAGACCUGCUGCUGGCUCCAUCUAUAGCUGUUACUAUAUAGUACAGUAGAUUAGUCUAAUUGUCAAGGAUACUUACCUUCAUUCAGUACUUCUACCACUUAAGUCGCUUCAGAUGCAUCAUUUUAGUUCAACAGAACAACAUAUUUAUGUCAGUCAUAUCCCUAACACAUCUGUGCAUUGGUCUAGCCCAUGGGUAGGCAACCCCCAGCACAGAUGCCAGAGCAUGGCACACAGAGGCAUUCUGCUUGGCAUAUGUGCCUUGGGGCGCACAGUUGGAAAUGGGCCAGGGUUGCACUGCCACAACAAGGAUCAGGCCCCUUGCAGCUUCCCUGCUAUCUGCUCCUGGCAUGCUAACAUCUUGCAAGUCAAGGUUGUUGAUGUUUUUGGCACUCUGCCCAAAAAUGUUGCCAACCCCUGGUCUAACCUUCCCAGAUGACAACACUGUUACAUACAUUAUCAUUUCUGUAAGGCAAUGGUUCUUGACCUUUUUAGACUGAAGGCCUCCCCUACCAUAAUUUUUCUGAAUUUAGCAGAAUCUCAUUUCAAACACUAUUUGAAUUCAUUUUUUGGCAAUGGAAAUAUAAAGCAAUUCUCCUCUUGCAAACAAUUCAAAAAAGCACAACAGCUCAAAAUGUUUUUUGCCUCUGUGGAUUAUUAUUUGAGAUCUCUGGGUUUAUCUUGUAAAUCAUGUUGCACACCUAACCAUGCUAAAACUGCAACACCCUGAAUCCCCCUUAAAAAUAUCUCAUGGAACCGCAGGCAGUCAAAAAAAAGAUUAAAAUAAUGGAAUGAGAAAAUACAGCUGUAAUUUAAGUGAUAUUUAUAUAACUUUUAAUUCCUUCAAACUUUCAUUUUUUAGUGGAAGCCAUUGAUUAUAUUCUCUAAUCCAAUGUUUCUCAAUCAGGGUGCCGCAGCCCAGAGAUCCUUUGAAGGGUGCCUUAUGGCGUGAGGAGGUAAGUUUAAACUCAUGUUCUUCCCUGCCUGGCAUUCCCUUAACUUCCACUGCCUGGCUCCUCUGCACUAAAAUAUAUUUGCUUUUGAAAUGGGGUACCACUAAAUUCACACAAGAUGUGGAAGUAUGCCUUGAGUCUAAAAAGGUUGAAAACCACUGCCUGAAUCACUCAACAUUGUCAAGGCAUUUUUAUGUGACAGGCUUCACAGUAUUUAGUUUAUCAAAGACAAGGGGCUAAAAAAGGCUUGGUUCUAACCCCAGCUAAACUAAUUUAUGAUCUUUUGUAGCAUCUCACUUGAUUAAUCUGUGCUUCAGCCAACCCAAAGGAAACAGAUGAUAUUAAAGUAAAAUUGAAAAUUGAAAAUGAGACAUGGACUACUAAUACAGGCAUUACUAUUAAUAAUACAUCUGACUAGUUUCUCUAAUACAAAAAUCUCUAACAAGUAUGUGUUUUCAUAAUAAUUCAUCAGAUUGCAAAACCAGAAAAUUAAGCAAUGUUUUAGCCACUUGAGUACAUUAUAUCUUCCCCUUACAUCAACAUGUUAGGCAACGUAGCUGACAUGGCCUUGCACAUUUGUAUAGGAAUGGCACAUUUUUCACAAAUAUAUCAGUAUUUUUACACUCCAUCUUUGCUUUGGCAUCAUAGAAUUUAUCAUCAACCAACUGCACAAACUUAGCAUUGCAGCUGGACUUGGAAAUCAUUAAAAAUGUUAUCAAUCCAAGCGUAAACAAUUCACUUAGUACUGGAUAAGUACCCAAAAGAUACACUUUCACUGCUGUUGUACAUGCCUAAAUUUUAUUCUGCUUGAGCACAAAAGCAUUAAAUUAACCCCAUUCAUGGUUUUGUAAAAAUAAAAAUAAGAUAAAUAACUUCCUGUAUUUUAAUUUAUUCAGAAAUAGAGCUUGCACUUACCUGCCUUCUGACACUGUACGAUUUUCUCAUAUAAGCUAUCU